UGCCUACGGGGCGCAGCAGUGGGGGUUCUUGCACAAUGGUGGCCACCCUGCUGCAGCGACGCCGCGUGGGCGAAGAAGUAUUUCGGUAUGUAAAGCCCUAUCAGCAGGGAAGAAGAAAUGACGGGACCUGAGUAAGAAGCACCGGCUAAAUACGUGCCAGCAGCCGCGGUAAUACGUAUGGCGCAAGCGUUAUCCGGAUUUACUGGGUGUAAAGGGAGCGCAGGCGGCACGGCAAGCCUGAUGUGA
This 246-nucleotide ribosomal RNA is filed under the name uncultured bacterium. RNAcentral describes it as "partial 16S ribosomal RNA". It matches the Rfam family "Bacterial small subunit ribosomal RNA", at positions 335 to 597 of the family's 1533-position model. The record is from RNAcentral.